Molecule: ribosomal RNA, 1528 nt
Filed under: Triticum aestivum (bread wheat)
Lineage: Eukaryota; Viridiplantae; Streptophyta; Magnoliopsida; Poales; Poaceae
Description: partial small subunit ribosomal RNA
Source: RNAcentral
GAGACGAAGUCUGAUGGUGUAGUUGGUACUGCGUAUAGGGUCGAGAGAGCAGAUGAGGCGCGGAACGGUCGGCGGCCUGUGGACGUGGGUUUCGGGGUUGUAGGUGGGGUGUUGCGCUCGCUGGUGCUGCCCCCCGCGAGGACGACGACACUGGGCCCCGCUACGCGUCCCCAGUACCGUGCUGUCACCUACUCCCACGAGCACCGGUACUAAAAACGACCUUGGCCGAGACGCCAACGAUGUUGGCCGUCCUGCUGCACGGGUGACCUCGACCUCGACAUCGCGCGAGUGGCCGCUACACCAAAAACGACCUUGGUCGUAUUCAAAAACGACCUUGGCCGAUCAAUGAAACGAUGUUAGUCUGAAACCCCUAAAAACGACGAUACAAAUAAAAACGACUUUGAUCACAGUUUAAAACGACCUUGGCCGAUAAGGAAACGAUGUUUCGCCUAAAAAGACUAAAAAACGACGAUACCAACAAAACGACCUUGGCCCGUCGCCCCUACCAGUGGUACGACCUUGGCCCGUUGUCCCUACGACCUUGUUAGCCAUCAAAAACGAAGAUGGUCGUCGUAAAAAACGACUUUGGACGUACAACUUAAAAAACGAUCCUGCCUUCACAAAAACGAUAUUAACUAAAAGCGAUCUUGGACGUAAAAAGAGACGACCUUGACCGAGUACCCUAACGAAGGUGGUCGCUCCACCACGAGCGCGACUAAAAAAACAACCCACCGUUCCCGCCUCUGACACAAGCAUAAAAAAAAACGACGUUGGAAACACAAAAAAACGACCUUUGUUGUUAUCUAAAACGACCUUGGACGGUUUUGUCUCUAAAAAAAACGUCAACAGGUCGCCCCGCUCGCCGGUACCGCACAGGUGGACGCUCGGCCGCCCGUCGGCGCCACUCGGCCGCUCGCCACCGCCACUCGGUCACUCGCCGCCCCACCCACGAUGCGCGUUUGGUGGCGUCUCCUAUACCACCUAGACUUCGCUCCUUCUUCCCCUGCACGCACUCCUAUCGAGCGACUUAGCACGCCAGGACUUCUGUGAUUAGCACGCCGACGCGCCCCUGGCCGGCUUUGCAAACCCGGCCACGCGGCCGCGGAUCGCGACCGGAUUUAUCUUCCACGGUUCUACCGUUAGAAAAAUUACAACCUCUAGGUGAUAAAGGUUCGUGUUUUAUAGAUGUGUUUAAUCUAUCUAUAUCUAUAUGUGUUUAGAAACCUUCUCGGAAAUAUCGUGAGUAAAAUGAGGUCUGCUCGACCUGUUCUGCAUAGUAUAUCGUGAUCAAAAUGAUGAGAUCCGCUCGUAGGGCGGAGGAGUCAGAUACUUUGGUUUUAAGAACCGUACUUGAGGUGGUACUAGGAGCCAGAUGGUCAUAUGACGGCACCCGCGGAGGAUUCAAGUUCAAAACCUGUCGCCUAUCCAACAUUACCUCCCCUACUGGUUUCACGUGGCAAACAUUAAUACGUAACAGAACUGAUCAUUUUUACGGGCACGCUACGUUGCCCUCUUAUUUUGUAGUAUA